RNAcentral lists this ribosomal RNA (1053 nucleotides) under uncultured eukaryote. Its description in RNAcentral is "SSU rRNA". It matches the Rfam family "Eukaryotic small subunit ribosomal RNA", at positions 367 to 1461 of the family's 1831-position model. The record is from RNAcentral.
ACUAGUGAUUGGAGAGGGGGCCUGAGAAACGGCUACCACAUCCAAGGAAGGCAGCAGGCACGCAAAUUACCCACUCCCGGCACGGGGAGGUAGUGACGAAAAAUAACGAGGCGGUUCUCUACGAGGCCCGCCAUCGGAAUGGGUACAAUUUAAAUCCUUUAACGAGGAUCUAUUGGAGGGCAAGUCUGGUGCCAGCAGCCGCGGUAAUUCCAGCUCCAAUAGCGUAUAUUAAAGUUGUUGCGGUUAAAAAGCUCGUAGUUGGAUCUGCGGUCAAGGGAAGUGGUCCUCCGACGGAUGGUUACUGCUUUUCCUGACCUAACUACUUCGGUUUUCCCUUGAUGCUCUUAACCGGGUGUCUUGGGCGACCGAAACGUUUACUUUGAAAAAAUUAGAGUGCUCAAAGCAGGCGUUCAGCCUGAAUAGUGGUGCAUGGAAUAAUAAAAGAGGAUCUCGGUUCUAUUUUGUUGGUAUUGGAUUGAGAUAAUGAUCGACGGGGAUAGACGGGGGCAUUCGUAUUGCGACGUUAGAGGUGAAAUUCUUGGAUCGUCGCCAGACGAACAACUGCGAAGGCAUUUGCCAAGAAUAUGCUCUUCAAUCAAGAACGAAAGCGUGAGGCGCGAACGCGAUCAGAUACCGCGGUAGUUCUCGCCGUAAACGAUGCCAACUAGCGAUCCGCCGGAGUUAAAUGAUGACUCGGCGGGCAGCUUCCGGGAAACCAAGGUUUUUGGGUUCCGGGGGAAGUAUGGUUGCAAAGCUGAAACUUAAAGGAAUUGACGGAAGGGCACCACCAGGAGUGGAGCCUGCGGCUUAAUUUGACUCAACACGGGGAAACUCACCCGGCCCGGACACCGUAAGGAUUGACAGAUUGAGAGCUCUUUCUUGAUUCGGUGGGUGGUGGUGCAUGGCCGUUCUUAGUUGGUGGAGCGAUUUGUCUGGUUAAUUCCGAUAACGAACGAGACUCUAGCCUGCUAAAUAGACAGUGAAUCGUUAGUUCACUGUACUUCUUAGAGGGACAAGCGGCAUCUAGCUGCACGAGAUUGAGCAAUAACAGGU